RNAcentral lists this ribosomal RNA (895 nucleotides) under Botryobasidium candicans. RNAcentral describes it as "eukaryotic LSU rRNA". It matches the Rfam family "Eukaryotic large subunit ribosomal RNA", at positions 62 to 962 of the family's 3401-position model. The record is from RNAcentral. Lineage: Eukaryota; Fungi; Basidiomycota; Agaricomycetes; Cantharellales; Botryobasidiaceae.
AAACUAACAAGGAUUCCCCUAGUAACGGCGAGUGAAGCGGGAAGAGCUCAAAUUUAAAAUCUGGCGGUCUUUGGCCGUCCGAGUUGUAGCCUAGAGAAGUGUUUUCCGCGGCGGACCAUGUACAAGUCUCUUGGAACAGAGCGUCAUAGAGGGUGAGAAUCCCGUCCUUGACAUGGACCCCCGUCGCCCUGCGAUGCACUCUCGAAGAGUCGAGUUGUUUGGGAAUGCAGCUCAAAAUGGGUGGUAAAUUCCAUCUAAAGCUAAAUAUUGGCGAGAGACCGAUAGCGAACAAGUACCGUGAGGGAAAGAUGAAAAGCACUUUGGAAAGAGAGUCAAACAGUACGUGAAAUUGUUAAAAGGGAAACGAUCAAAGUCAGUCGCGUCUGCCGGGAUUCAGCCUUGCCUUCCGCUUGGCGCAUUUCCCGGUCUGACGGGCCAGCGUCGAUUUUGGCCGGCGGAUAAGGGUCGGAGGAAUGUGGCUCCUCACGGAGUGUUAUAGCCUCUGGCCGCACACGUCGGCUGGGAUCGAGCUUCUCGCACGGCACGCCUCUGGUGGUGCCCGCGCUGGCGUAAUGGCUUUGACCGACCCGUCUUGAAACACGGACCAAGGAGUCUAACAUGUCUGCGAGUGUUUGGGUGAAAAACCCGGGCGCGUAAUGAAAGUGAUGGUUGGGAACCCUUCGGGGGGCACCGACGCCCGUGGCAGACCUACUGUGACGCACACGAGGCAGAGCAUGCAUGUUGGGACCCGAAAGAUGGUGAACUAUGCCUGAAUAGGGUGAAGCCAGAGGAAACUCUGGUGGAGGCUCGUAGCGAUUCUGACGUGCAAAUCGAUCGUCAAAUUUGGGUAUAGGGGCGAAAGACUAAUCGAACCAUCUAGUAGCUGGUUCCUGNN